AUUGAACGCUGGCGGCAUGCUUUACACAUGCAAGUCGAACGGUAACAGGGUGCUUGCACCGCUGACGAGUGGCGAACGGGUGAGUAAUGCGUCGGAACGUGCCGAGUAGUGGGGGAUAACGCAGCGAAAGUUGUGCUAAUACCGCAUACGUACUGAGGUAGAAAGUGGGGGACCUUCGGGCCUCACGCUAUUCGAGCGGCCGACGUCUGAUUAGCUAGUAGGUGAGGUAAAGGCUCACCUAGGCGACGAUCAGUAGCGGGACUGAGAGGAUGAUCCGCCACACGUGGGCUGGGACACGGCCCAGACUCCUACGGGAGGCAGCAGUGGGGAAUUUUGGACAAUGGGCGAAAGCCUGAUUCAGCCAUGCCGCGUGUCUGAAGAAGGCCUUCGGGUUGUAAAGGACUUUUGUCAGGGAGGAAAUCCCUAGUGCUAAUAACACUGGGGGAUGACAGUACCUGAAGAAUAAGCACCGGCUAACUACGUGCCAGCCGCCGCAGUAA
RNAcentral lists this ribosomal RNA (500 nucleotides) under uncultured bacterium. Its description in RNAcentral is "partial 16S ribosomal RNA". It matches the Rfam family "Bacterial small subunit ribosomal RNA", at positions 30 to 523 of the family's 1533-position model. The record is from RNAcentral.